AGCAUGCUCCGGGGGCGGUGAAACUCCGCACCGGCGGUGAUAGCCCGCGAACCGCGCCAACUCCUCGCGAGAAGGCGCGGCCGACCUGGUGGAACUCCAGGGCCGACGGUGAAAGUCCGGAUGAGAGGCGCAUGCG
Molecule: non-coding RNA, 136 nt
Filed under: Xylanimonas cellulosilytica
Lineage: Bacteria; Bacillati; Actinomycetota; Actinomycetes; Micrococcales; Promicromonosporaceae
Also listed under: 1 other name
Description: FMN sequence
Rfam family: FMN riboswitch aptamer (RFN element)
About the family: The RFN element is a highly conserved domain that is found frequently in the 5'-untranslated regions of prokaryotic mRNAs that encode for flavin mononucleotide (FMN) biosynthesis and transport proteins.
Source: RNAcentral